Molecule: ribosomal RNA, 924 nt
Filed under: Clavariadelphus griseoglaucus
Lineage: Eukaryota; Fungi; Basidiomycota; Agaricomycetes; Gomphales; Clavariadelphaceae
Description: Clavariadelphus sp. PA-2022a partial large subunit ribosomal RNA
Rfam family: Eukaryotic large subunit ribosomal RNA
Source: RNAcentral
UAAGCAUAUCAAUAAGCGGAGGAAAAGAAACUAACAAGGAUUCCCCUAGUAACGGCGAGUGAAGCGGGAAGAGCUCAAAUUUGUAAUCUGGCGGUCUCUGGCCGUCCGAGUUGUAGUCUGGAGAAGUGUUUUCCGUGCCGGACCGUGUACAAGUCCCUUGGAACAGGGCGUCAUAGAGGGUGAGAAUCCCGUCUUAGACACGGACUGCCGGUGCUCUGUGAUGCGCUCUCAAAGAGUCGAGUUGUUUGGGAAUGCAGCUCAAAACGGGUGGUAAAUUCCAUCUAAAGCUAAAUAUUGGCGAAAGACCGAUAGCGAACAAGUACCGUGAGGGAAAGAUGAAAAGCACUUUGGAAAGAGAGUUAAACAGUACGUGAAAUUGUUGAAAGGGAAACGCUUGAAGUCAGUCGCGUCUCUCGGGACUCAACCUUGCUUUCAAUGCAUCGCAAGGCGCAUUUCCCGGGAUGACGGGCCAGCAUCGAUUUCAGUCGCUGGAGAAAGGUCGGGGGAAUGUGGCACCCUUUCGGGUGUGUUAUAGCCCUCGGUCGUAUGUAGCGAUGGGGAUCGAGGAUCGCAGCACGCCUGUAAUGGACGGGGUUCGCCCACGCAACGUGCUUAGGAUGCUGGCGUAAUGGCUUUAAGCGACCCGUCUUGAAACACGGACCAAGGAGUCUAACAUGCCUGCGAGUGUUUGGGUGUCAAACCCGGACGCGUAAUGAAAGUGAACUGUUGGGACCUCUGUCGUGGAGGGCACCGACGCCCGGACCAGAGCUUCUGUGACGGAUCCGAGGUAGAGCAUGUAUGUUGGGACCCGAAAGAUGGUGAACUAUGCCUGAGUAGGGUGAAGCCAGAGGAAACUCUGGUGGAGGCUCGUAGCGAUUCUGACGUGCAAAUCGAUCGUCGAACUUGGGUAUAGGGGCGAAAGAC